AUGGCUCCUUGUCGCGAACUCGACAGCGUCCAUGUGCAGGGACAGGCGGAGGCUGGUGCCGGCAAGCAGGCAGUGGAGCGCGUUGACGGAGCCGUGGUGGAGGUCAUGGGCGCCGAUCUGCUCCACCCACCUCGAGCCGACGCGAGGAAGAGGGAAGAUAGCUCAUUAACUCUGCAGUGGCGCCAUGGCUGCCGGAUGGCGAGCGCCUCAUCGCGGCUGCUGGCCACGAGCGCCUCACCACGGCUUCUGGCCGACGAGCAUAGGGGAGCUCGGCUGCUGGGAAUGGAGCUCCGCAGCAGCGGCUCGGUGGAGGCAGGCAAUGGAUAA
This 327-nucleotide ribosomal RNA is filed under the name Triticum aestivum (bread wheat). Its description in RNAcentral is "partial small subunit ribosomal RNA". The record is from RNAcentral. Lineage: Eukaryota; Viridiplantae; Streptophyta; Magnoliopsida; Poales; Poaceae.